GGCUCUUUGUUAGAAAUAAGACGAGGAGUCUAACCUGCCCGGUGAGGCGUGUUCCUUUAACGGCUGCAUUAAUUUGUACUAAGGUAGCUGAAUUUCCUUGCCCGAUAAUUGUGGGCUAUGUGAAUGGUUGGACGAGGGCUCAACUGUCUCGAUACUGGUGAGAUGAAAAUGGAGUGUUGGGGAAAGUGCUGACAUGGCGUAGAGGGAAGAGAAGACCCCGUGGAACUUUAGGGUUAGCUUUGCGUGUGGGGUCAGGCUUACUCUGGUUUGGGGGGCUGGCGAUGCACGCAGAGUAUCACAUUAGCUGGGGCAGCUGGGUAAGCAGAGAAUAUUACCCCUUUCUUUAAGGGCUUGCUUGCUAUAAAAGAUCCACUUUAAGUGAUCAUGGGAAUUAGUUACCCCGGGGGUAACAGGCUUAUCUCGCUCUAAAAGCUCGUAUUGAUGAGCGGGUUUGGCACCUCGAUGUUGGCUUAGGGUACCCU
RNAcentral lists this ribosomal RNA (482 nucleotides) under Ctenoides mitis. Its description in RNAcentral is "partial 16S ribosomal RNA". It matches the Rfam family "Bacterial large subunit ribosomal RNA", at positions 1816 to 2548 of the family's 2925-position model. The record is from RNAcentral. Lineage: Eukaryota; Metazoa; Mollusca; Bivalvia; Limoida; Limidae.